Molecule: long non-coding RNA, 575 nt
Filed under: Helianthus annuus (common sunflower)
Lineage: Eukaryota; Viridiplantae; Streptophyta; Magnoliopsida; Asterales; Asteraceae
Description: hypothetical non coding rna
Source: RNAcentral
AUGGAAACGGGGUGGGGUAUUACCGUACCUAGUAUAAUCUCACUUAUAGCCAAGCUAUUGGUAGAGUCUGAGAAUGGUGAGAUGUAGACAAGCCUUACUACUAUCCCAGGGAUAAAGAGACUGCUUCCAGUGAGACCCUCAACCUUUAAACCGUAUCCAAAUGUAAGAGUCGAAUAAACAUACAGAAGUAUAUAACACAAAUGUAAGUGAUAACACACAUAAAAUAAUAUUUAUAAUAAUACCAAGCCUCUAAUGAAUAAUAUUAACAAUACAACUCUAGAAAAUGAUAAAAAAAAAAAAAAAAACAUACUUCAACUAAUUUUAAUAAUUAUUUUUUACUUUAUAUUUAAAUAAGAAAGGUUCCACCUAAUAACACAAGGAAGGAAGGUUCUACCUAAUUAAUGACUCGAGAAUAGAUUCUCAAUCAAUGGAUAAUGAAGUUAAUUCGUUCACAAUUAAAAAAAAGCCAUUUUUUCUGCUAUAAUAUAAGCUAGAUGUCCAGAUGAUUCAGUAGCUUAUAAUUAUAAUGCUAAAAACAACCACAAUAUUACAAAACUAAGGUUAAUUAAAACGAC